RNAcentral lists this long non-coding RNA (221 nucleotides) under Phoenix dactylifera (date palm). RNAcentral's name for it is "long non-coding RNA (PDAC_LNC011226)". Lineage: Eukaryota; Viridiplantae; Streptophyta; Magnoliopsida; Arecales; Arecaceae. The record is from RNAcentral.
AAGGAGUGAAGGACAAAUUUGUCAAAAACAAGAGAUAUGGAUGCAUCAUGGAGUGUUACCCCAUGAAUUAAUGUUAGAAAUCAAACAUAAUAUUCGAUUGGUUGCUAUUCUAACUCUAGAUAAUAGUUGAACGAUGAUGUUAAAGCAAUGUAAUAACUUACAAACUGGAUCCACAAUGAAGAUCUUAUCGUUUUCUACACUUAAUAUAUUAGAGAGAAUUA